Molecule: unclassified non-coding RNA, 476 nt
Filed under: uncultured fungus
Lineage: Eukaryota; Fungi
Description: partial contains small subunit ribosomal RNA, internal transcribed spacer 1, and 5.8S ribosomal RNA
Rfam family: Eukaryotic small subunit ribosomal RNA (bases 1-73)
Source: RNAcentral
GCAAACUUGGUCAUUUAGAGGAAGUAAAAGUCGUAACAAGGUUUCCGUAGGUGAACCUGCGGAAGGAUCAUUACAAAUCCACACGUCUCAUUCCCGAGACCACGUUGAACGCGAAUGUGUUGUAUGUGUGUUGUUGUUGUCGUGGGUCAGUGAGUAGUAGUAGUGUGAGAAUGGUGGGCGCGUGAUAGUUUAUCUAUCCGUGUCCUUCACUCACCUGCUCGCUUGCUUGCUUGCUCAUUCGACUACUACUUCCACGACAACGUUUGUACCUUACUGGUGAUGAUGUUGCACAUACGUAUAGUAUAUGCAUUGUGUGAUUGAUGGAAGAAGUGGGGUGGGGUGGUGAUGAUUCGCACGCAGUUUGCUUGCGAGUCUCUCCUCUCUUUCUCUCUCUCCCUCUCUCAACCAACAAAACGACAACAAAAACAACUUAUAACAAUGGAUCUCUAGGCUCUUGCAUCGAUGAAGAACGCAGC